GAUGAACGCUGGCGGCGUGCUUAACACAUGCAAGUCGAACGGAAAGGCCCGGCGUUUGUGGGGUGCUCGAGUGGCGAACGGGUGAGUAACACGUGAGGAAACUGCACUUAACUGUGGGAGAACUUUAGGAAACUGGGGCGAAUACAGGAGAGGAGCUCCUGCUGCGUGGUGGGCGAUGGAAAGUUACGGCGGUUGGGGAUGUACUGGGGGGGUAUCAGCUAGUUGGGAAGGUAGCGGCUUACAAAGGCUUUGACGGGUAGCCGACCUGAGAGGGUGAUCGGCCACACUGGAACUGGGACACGGUCCAGACGCCUACGGGAGGCAGCAGUAGGGAAUCUUCCGCAAUGGGCGAAAGCCUGACGGAGCAACGCCGCGUGAGUGAUGAAGGUCUUCGGAUCGUAAAACUCUGUUAUUAGGGAAGAACAAAUGUGUAAGUAACUAUGCACGUCUUGACGGUACCUAAUCAGAAAGCCACGGCUAACUACGUG
This 488-nucleotide ribosomal RNA is filed under the name uncultured bacterium. RNAcentral's name for it is "partial 16S ribosomal RNA". It matches the Rfam family "Bacterial small subunit ribosomal RNA", at positions 28 to 507 of the family's 1533-position model. The record is from RNAcentral.